GACGAACGCUGGCGGCGUGCCUAAUACAUGCAAGUUGAGCGAUGAAGAUUAGUGCUUGCACCAAUUUGAAGAGCAGCGAACGGGUGAGUAACGCGUGGGGAAUCUGCCUUUGAGCGGGGGACAACAUUUGGAAACGAAUGCUAAUACCGCAUAACAACUUUAAACAUAAGUUUUAAGUUUGAAAGAUGCAAUUGCAUCACUCAAAGAUGAUCCCGCGUUGUAUUAGCUAGUUGGUGAGGUAAAGGCUCACCAAGGCGAUGAUACAUAGCCGACCUGAGAGGGUGAUCGGCCACAUUGGGACUGAGACACGGCCCAAACUCCUACGGGAGGCAGCAGUAGGGAAUCUUCGGCAAUGGACGAAAGUCUGACCGAGCAACGCCGCGUGAGUGAAGAAGGUUUUCGGAUCGUAAAACUCUGUUGGUAGAGAAGAACGUUGGUGAGAGUGGAAAGCUCAUCAAGUGACGGUAACUACCCAGAAAGGGACGGCUAACUACGUG
RNAcentral lists this ribosomal RNA (497 nucleotides) under uncultured bacterium. Its description in RNAcentral is "partial 16S ribosomal RNA". It matches the Rfam family "Bacterial small subunit ribosomal RNA", at positions 28 to 507 of the family's 1533-position model. The record is from RNAcentral.